AACGUACGCUGGCGGCACGCCUAACACAUGCAAGUCGAACGCAGUAGCAAUACUGAGUGGCAAACGGGUGAGUAUAAUGUGGGAAUCUGCCUUUUGGCCUGGAAUAACACGAGGAAACUUGUGCUAAUACCGGAUAAGUCUUUACGGAGAAAGCUUUAUGCACCAUUGGAUGAGCCCGCACUUGAUUAGUUUGUUGGUAGGGUAAUGGCCUACCAAGACUGUGAUCAAUAGCUGAUUUGAGAGGAUGAUCAGCCACAUUGGGACUGAGACACGGCCCAAACUCCUACGGGAGGCAGCAGUGGGGAAUCUUGCACAAUGGAGGAAACUCUGAUGCAGCGAUGCCGCGUGAGUGAAGAAGGCCCUUGGGUUGUAAAGCUCUUUCGUCGGGGAAGAAAAUGACUGUACCCGAAUAAGAAGGUCCGGCUAACUUCGUGCCAGCAGCCGCGGUAAUACGAAGGGACCUAGCGUAGUUCGGAAUUACUGGGCUUAAAGAGUUCGUAGGUGGUUGAAAAAGUUGGUGGUGAAAUCCCAGAGCUUAACUCUGGAACUGCCAUCAAAACUUUUUAGCUAGAGUAUGAUAGAGGAAAGCAGAAUUUCUAGUGUAGAGGUGAAAUUCGUAGAUAUUAGAAAGAAUACCAAUUGCGAAGGCAGCUUUCUGGAUCAUUACUGACACUGAGGAACGAAAGCAUGGGUAGCGAAGAGGAUUAGAUACCCUCGUAGUCCAUGCCGUAAACGAUGUGUGUUAGACGUUGGAAAUUUAUUUUCAGUGUCGCAGGGAAACCGAUAAACACACCGCCUGGGGAGUACGACCGCAAGGUUA
RNAcentral lists this ribosomal RNA (820 nucleotides) under uncultured marine bacterium. RNAcentral describes it as "bacterial SSU rRNA". It matches the Rfam family "Bacterial small subunit ribosomal RNA", at positions 28 to 896 of the family's 1533-position model. The record is from RNAcentral.